AACAUUUGUUAGGUCCACAUAUAUUUUGGAAACAAGAAAUACAAAUUAAAAAUGUCUAUUCGAAAUUCGUCGGUAAAUCUUAAUUCCAAAAAAUGGCUAAAACUCAAUACUUAAUACUACAAGUCAUGCUUUUGCUUGCACUCCUUGUAAAUAAUUUCGUACACAACUUUUUCUGUGUGUGCCACACAGUAUUAAUAAGUAAUACAUUUUUAGUUUUCGACAACGUCUCAAAUGUCGAUAAAUUGAUUUCGCUGUUAACUACUAUCGUUUUAUGGUGUUAGCCAUACGUUGGAAUUAGGAUAGGAUAGAGAUAGGAUACAGAGCACAAUGCACCCACAUUAGUGAUACUGGAAGUUAUCGCUGAUUUGCAUGGUUUUCAAUAAUUAAGUUGGCAUCAAGUUAUUUAAUGGUGAUGAUGGUAUGAUGGUGUUAAUUAAAUGGGAUUAUAAGAAAGAGUUAAUAAAUGUUAAAUACAAA
This is a long non-coding RNA of Drosophila novamexicana, 477 nucleotides long. RefSeq lists it as uncharacterized. NCBI's taxonomy places the organism in Eukaryota, Metazoa, Arthropoda, Insecta, Diptera, Drosophilidae. The record is from RefSeq and is a predicted model, not a curated record. The transcript is spliced from 4 exons.